AACACUGUUAACCUGCGGUACCUGCGGAAGGAUCAUUAUAGUAUAUGGAAUCUCCAUUCUAUAAACCCACUCUGCGUAUCUUGUAACUGUUGCUUCCAUGGGACUUGGUUCCGCCACACCGGCUUCACGGCUGGUGAGCGCCCAUGGAAGGAGAAACAAAACUCUUCUUUGAAAUGUAGUCAGUCUGAACAAGUCUUUAUAAACGUUAAAACUUUCAACAAUGGAUCUCAGAUCGGAAGA
RNAcentral lists this unclassified non-coding RNA (240 nucleotides) under soil metagenome. Its description in RNAcentral is "partial contains 5.8S ribosomal RNA, internal transcribed spacer 2, and large subunit ribosomal RNA". The record is from RNAcentral.